CCUCCAUUUCUUGGCAUACAUGUAGUUGUUUAGUACUCAUGUGUGUUAUGUACGGAGGAAAAACAAAUGCAGCGCUAUGUCUUCGGUACCGGUGUGUCUUCUAUCGUCUGCCGGUUCUAUCCUCAAUCGCUGUUACAUUC
RNAcentral lists this small nucleolar RNA (140 nucleotides) under Amphiprion ocellaris (clown anemonefish). RNAcentral's name for it is "Small nucleolar RNA SNORA57 (ENSAOCG00000003131.2)". It matches the Rfam family "Small nucleolar RNA SNORA57". Rfam says of the family: U99 belongs to the H/ACA class of snoRNAs which are thought to guide the sites of modification of uridines to pseudouridines, the target for this family is unknown. Lineage: Eukaryota; Metazoa; Chordata; Actinopteri; Pomacentridae. The record is from Rfam by way of RNAcentral.